CCAUGAUAGAUGGGGAAUUAGCGAUGCCUUGUAACCUGCAAUUCGCUACAGCAGGGUUGAAUUCCCAUCUUAGGGAUAAAGUUGUAUAGUCUGCCCCAAGUGUGUGGCGUUGAGGGUUGGGUCCUGCGCAACGCAUGCUUGUGAACCGUGUCAGGUCUUGACGGAAGCAGCACUAAGCGAGAUUUUGCGUGUGCCGUAGGGGUGCCUAAUCUGAGUUAACUACUUGGGUACCGUAUGGAACUUUAUUUCGAAGAUGGGUUCAUGG
Non-coding RNA from Anaerosphaera aminiphila DSM 21120, 265 nucleotides. It matches the Rfam family "Bacterial large signal recognition particle RNA". From Rfam's summary of the family: The signal recognition particle (SRP) is a universally conserved ribonucleoprotein involved in the co-translational targeting of proteins to membranes. Archaeal SRP consists of a 7S RNA and homologues of the eukaryotic SRP19 and SRP54 proteins. The record is from Rfam. NCBI's taxonomy places the organism in Bacteria, Bacillati, Bacillota, Tissierellia, Tissierellales, Peptoniphilaceae.